Small nucleolar RNA from Chrysolophus pictus (golden pheasant), 92 nucleotides. Lineage: Eukaryota; Metazoa; Chordata; Aves; Galliformes; Phasianidae. The record is from Ensembl.
GCUGGUGUAGGUGAUGACUGGACUUUUUUCCCCAUCAGAGCGACCGUGUCGAUCACUCGUCACUCCAGCCAGGUCUCGUCUGAUGCACCAGC